UACGUAGGAGGCGAGCGUUGUCCGGAGUUACUGGGCGUAAAGGGUGCGCAGGCGGCGGUUCGCGUGGCGAGAUGAAAUCUCCUGGCUUACCUGGGAGGAUGGUCGCCAGACGGGAUCGCUUGAGGGUCGGAGAGGGGCGUGGAAUUCCACGUGUAGCAGUGAAAUGCGUAGAGAUGUGGAGGAACACCGAUGGCGAAGGCAGCCCCCUGGGCUAACACUGACGCUCAGGCACGAAAGCGUGGGGAGCAAACAGG
RNAcentral lists this ribosomal RNA (254 nucleotides) under uncultured bacterium. RNAcentral describes it as "partial 16S ribosomal RNA". It matches the Rfam family "Bacterial small subunit ribosomal RNA", at positions 524 to 776 of the family's 1533-position model. The record is from RNAcentral.